Molecule: ribosomal RNA, 354 nt
Filed under: Triticum aestivum (bread wheat)
Lineage: Eukaryota; Viridiplantae; Streptophyta; Magnoliopsida; Poales; Poaceae
Description: partial small subunit ribosomal RNA
Source: RNAcentral
AUGAAACGAAACUUUGCGAGGAUUUUUUAUAUCAAUAAAGAGAAUUUCUGUAGCCAAGAACCACCAGAGGGGGCACCUGGGUGGGCACAACCCACCAGGGUGCGCCACACCCUCCAGGCGCGCCCAGGUGGGUUGUCACCACCUGGUGGACCCGCAGACCCUGAAACCGAUGCUAUAAAAUCCUAUUUUUCCAGAAAAAAUCAGGGAGAAAGAAUUGUCGCGUUUCACGAGACGGAGCCGCCGCCACCUCCUGUUCUUCAUCGGGAGGCCAGAUCUGGAGCCCGUUUGGGGCUCCGGAGAGGGGGGUCUUUGAUCUUCGUCAUCACCAACCCUUCUCCAUCGCCAAUUCCAUGA